CAGCAGCCCGGUAAAACGUAGGUGGCAAGCGUUGUCCGGAAUUAUUGGGCGUAAAGGGCUCGCAGGCGGUUUCUUAAGUCUGAUGUGAAAGCCCCCGGCUCAACCGGGGAGGGUCAUUGGAAACUGGGAAGCUUGAGUGCAGAAGAGGAGAGUGGAAUUCCACGUGUAGCGGUGAAAUGCGUAGAGAUGUGGAGGAACACCAGUGGCGAAGGCGACUCUCUGGUCUGUAACUGACGCUGAGGAGCGAAAGCGUGGGGAGCGAACAGGAUUAGAUACCCCUGUAGUCCCUGUCUCUUAUACA
Molecule: ribosomal RNA, 301 nt
Filed under: uncultured bacterium
Lineage: Bacteria
Description: partial 16S ribosomal RNA
Rfam family: Bacterial small subunit ribosomal RNA
Source: RNAcentral